UGGGGGAUAUUGCACAAUGGGGGGAACCCUGAUGCAGCGACGCCGCGUGGGUGAAGAAGCGCCUCGGCGCGUAAAGCCCUGUCAGCAGGGAAGAAAAUGACGGUACCUGAAGAAGAAGCCCCGGNUAACUACGUGCCAGCAGCCGNGGUAAUCACUGUCUAUACGUGUCCUACGGGAGGCAGCAGUGAGGAAUAUU
RNAcentral lists this ribosomal RNA (196 nucleotides) under uncultured bacterium. Its description in RNAcentral is "partial 16S ribosomal RNA". The stretch from base 1 to 174 matches the Rfam family "Bacterial small subunit ribosomal RNA", at positions 355 to 540 of the family's 1533-position model. The record is from RNAcentral.